AUUGAACGCUGGCGGCAUGCUUUACACAUGCAAGUCGAACGGCAGCGGGGUAGUGCUUGCACUACUGCCGGCGAGUGGCGAACGGGUGAGUAAUAUAUCGGAACGUACCGAGUAAUGGGGGAUAACCAAUCGAAAGAUUGGCUAAUACCGCAUACGUCCUGAGGGAGAAAGCGGGGGAUCGCAAGACCUCGCGUUAUUCGAGCGGCCGAUAACUGAUUAGCUAGUUGGUGGGGUAAAGGCCUACCAAGGCGACGAUCAGUAGCGGGUCUGAGAGGACGACCCGCCACACUGGGACUGAGACACGGCCCAGACUCCUACGGGAGGCAGCAGUGGGGAAUUUUGGACAAUGGGGGCAACCCUGAUCCAGCCAUGCCGCGUGUAUGAAGAAGGCCUUCGGGUUGUAAAGUACUUUUGUUAGGGAAGAAAAGGGAAGUGCUAAUACCACUUUUUGCUGACGGUACCUAAAGAAUAAGCACCGGCUAACUACGUG
RNAcentral lists this ribosomal RNA (490 nucleotides) under uncultured bacterium. RNAcentral describes it as "partial 16S ribosomal RNA". It matches the Rfam family "Bacterial small subunit ribosomal RNA", at positions 30 to 507 of the family's 1533-position model. The record is from RNAcentral.